Molecule: ribosomal RNA, 301 nt
Filed under: uncultured bacterium
Lineage: Bacteria
Description: partial 16S ribosomal RNA
Rfam family: Bacterial small subunit ribosomal RNA
Source: RNAcentral
CAGCCGCCGCGGUAAUACAGAGGGUGCGAGCGUUAAUCGGAUUUACUGGGCGUAAAGCGUGCGUAGGCGGCUUUUUAAGUCGGAUGUGAAACCCCUGAGCUUAACUUAGGAAUUGCAUUCGAUACUGGGAAGCUAGAGUAUGGGAGAGGAUGGUAGAAUUCCAGGUGUAGCGGUGAAAUGCGUAGAGAUCUGGAGGAAUACCGAUGGCGAAGGCAGCCAUCUGGCCUAAUACUGACGCUGAGGUACGAAAGCAUGGGGAGCAAACAGGAUUAGAUACCCCUGUAGUCCCUGUCUCUUAUAC